This 88-nucleotide transfer RNA is filed under the name Amphimedon queenslandica. It matches the Rfam family "tRNA". From Rfam's summary of the family: Transfer RNA (tRNA) molecules are approximately 80 nucleotides in length. Lineage: Eukaryota; Metazoa; Porifera; Demospongiae; Haplosclerida; Niphatidae. The record is from Rfam by way of RNAcentral.
UCCCCAGUGGCUCAGUCGGUUAGCGCGUCGUACUUAUAAACAGUAUUGAGUAAUGCGAAGGUCGGGAGUUCGAUCCUCCCCUGGGGAA